Molecule: unclassified non-coding RNA, 395 nt
Filed under: uncultured Mortierella
Lineage: Eukaryota; Fungi; Mortierellomycota; Mortierellomycetes; Mortierellales; Mortierellaceae
Description: partial contains 5.8S ribosomal RNA, internal transcribed spacer 2, and large subunit ribosomal RNA
Source: RNAcentral
AACGCACAUUGCGCUCUCUGGUAUUCCGGGGAGCAUGCUUGUUUGAGUACCGUUUCAACCCCUCACCCGCGCCAUCAUGAACGGCGCGACGUGGAUGCUGGCCGGAAUUUUGUCACCGAAACCGGCUGAAAAACAGUGAUCGGGAUGUACCCGCGGGCAUUUUAUGGGAUUCGGGCCAAAUUUCUAGUGCCCGGCCGCCGACAAGACGAGGACUAGUGUGGGAUUUCGAUCUCCUUUCCGCCGUCAAAGGCAGCCGGACCGGCCAGACCCAGUGCCCCGCACGCUUAUCAGCAGACAUUUUCCCGACCCAACCUGAAACAUGCCAGGCGCGGACUUGCACCGCGAACACCUGAACCUCUGGUCUCAAAUCAAGCAAGAGAACCCGCUGAACUUAA